RNAcentral lists this ribosomal RNA (251 nucleotides) under uncultured prokaryote. Its description in RNAcentral is "partial 16S rRNA". It matches the Rfam family "Bacterial small subunit ribosomal RNA", at positions 525 to 775 of the family's 1533-position model. The record is from RNAcentral.
ACGGAGGGUGCAAGCGUUAAUCGGAAUUACUGGGCGUAAAGCGCACGCAGGCGGUUUGUUAAGUCAGAUGUGAAAUCCCCGGGCUCAACCUGGGAACUGCAUCUGAUACUGGCAAGCUUGAGUCUCGUAGAGGGGGGUAGAAUUCCAGGUGUAGCGGUGAAAUGCGUAGAGAUCUGGAGGAGUACCGGUGGCGAAGGCGGCCCACUGGAUUAAUUCUGACGCUGAUGUGCGAAAGCGUGGGUAGCAAACAG